CAUUGUUGUGUCCCAAAGUGUACCGGCGAUUCUCGCUACAACCAAGAGCUUUCCUUCCAUCGAUUUCCAAAAGACACAUCAUUAAAGGCAGAGUGGAUCUCAAAGAUCAGAAGAGACGAAGGGACCUCUUUUAAGAUUACAGGUAACACAAGAGUUUGCUCGAGGCACUUUCUUGAAAGUGAUUACCGCCCUCUAAGUGCUAAAAGAAAAAGAAACCUUAAGUCUGGGGUUGUUCCUUCUGUUUUUGAAUGGAGAGGUCCCAUAAAACAAAGAAGAAAAAUAAUACGACAUGUUGAUAGUGGCACACAGACUGAUGAAAGU
This is a long non-coding RNA of Actinia tenebrosa (Australian red waratah sea anemone), 321 nucleotides long. The record is from RefSeq and is a predicted model, not a curated record. NCBI's taxonomy places the organism in Eukaryota, Metazoa, Cnidaria, Anthozoa, Actiniaria, Actiniidae.